This 535-nucleotide long non-coding RNA is filed under the name Sorghum bicolor (sorghum). RNAcentral's name for it is "long non-coding RNA (SBIC_LNC006364)". The record is from RNAcentral. Lineage: Eukaryota; Viridiplantae; Streptophyta; Magnoliopsida; Poales; Poaceae.
AGAACUCUCAGGAAACCUCCUCUCUUCCCACCAAAAAUAAUUAUAUAGUUAUCCUUGGGCGAUCUUGGAUCUUAAUUAGUACACUCACGUUCUCUGUGGAAAAUCGAUACUCUGGAAUACUCCCAGGUGAAAGCUACAUCGGUAUCCGUACGCUUGCGGAUUUUUCUGUUUGCGUUUAAAAUACCCAACACGACCAUAAAGCGCAGCUUAGUCGGAGGUUUUCUGCAAGCUCGUCUUGCGGAUGUAAUUAACCGGACGUGCCCAACAGGCCCCGAGAAUCGGCGAACUACGCAAUUUCUCUACAAGUCAGACCUCUCCUUGAGCAUGACGUUGAAGACGGAAGAAGACAUUUUUUUCGUUGAUCAUGUAUUUUGUAUAUUAAAGAAAGAAUUAAUGAAAUAUGUGGUUCUCGAAUAUGUGUGCAUGUGUCUCCCUUGCAUUACAUUAUUUUUCUAUGUCUUCGCCCGGUUUUCGACCAAACAGGUGGAAGGUAAAAUGAGUAAGUUUUAAGUCUUAACAGUUUACUCUAACUCAG